UUUGUCGCUUGUGCUCUGUCACGUCUGUUCGAACAAGGGAGGAGGACGAGGAGAGGCGGCAGUUCCCCACGCGAACGGAAAGCUCUCUCACUCUCCCCCUUUAUUGCUUUUAUCUGCUUCUGCUCGUUUCUAUAGUUCUUGUCCACUGUCUUCCUCUGUUGUGUCUUAGGGUUCUUGAGUCGUUGUUGGGUCGCGGAUGAUUUCUUGCAGCCCAUAGUCUCGAGUGUUUCUUAAUUCUUAGGUUUCUGCAGAAUACUGAGUAGCAUAUAUGUGACACAUUAUUUCCUGCAACCCUUAGUGUCUCCGUUUCUGAGUUAGGGUUUUUCGAGAAUAUUGGGUGUUAAUUGCGUGACGGAUGAUUUCUUGCAACCCUCGGUUCACGUUUUGGGCUGCUCGGCUUUACUUGGGCUGUUCGCUUUAACGAAUUGUGCUUCUUGAAUCGGCUAUGGAGAUUUAGUCAGGUCGUUUGGAUAAAUAAGCUUUCGCAAAGCACUCAGAAUUUCGUUUUCUACAUCAUACCAAACUUAUUAGGAUGUGAGAAUGCUAAGCUUCCUCCAAAAAGCUACUUUUGUUGUAUGCAUAUGAAAGGUGGACAUACCACCUGCUUUAAGCAUCUGUCAGAGCUUUACAUCUAACUAGUAUUAUAAUUUGUUCCCAAGUAGAGGGUUUUUUGGCAUGGAUUUUGGACAUAUUUUUGUAACAAAAGAAGUGGUUCUAUUAAUUCAUUGGCAACUGUGACUUGCUGGAUGGUUGGGAAGUUUACUUGCUAGUGGAGGUGGAAGCACAAGUUUUAAUUCAUAGUGCCUUUAUUUGUGCCAUUGAAGGUCUAUUAGGAGCAACAUCGAUGAUCAUAAGUCAUAUGGGAGGCCCAAAUCAAGCAGUUUCAGGAAACGAUCUCGAGACCAGUUUGAUAAUGCGAAAAGGAAGAGGCAUAAUUCUAGCCAUGGUCGUGGUUCUACGACAACUAAACCUAUUGAUACUAUUUAUCGCAUACUUUGUCCUGUGAAAAAGAUUGGUAGUGUUCUUGGGAAAGGAGGUGAAAUCUCAGAGGUACGACCCAUGCAAAGAUAAGGGUUGCAGAUGCUGUUCCCGGGGUAGAGGAGAGAGUAGUUAUGAUCUUUUGUUACCUGUGGCAAUCUGAAAGAAAUGAUUCUGAUGAGGAUCCCUAUGAUAAUGAUGGAAUUGAGUUAGAGGAUAUGCGUGCCCGUUGUCCUGCACAAGAUGCUUUACUGAAGAUCCACUAUUGGAUUGCUGCAGAUGAGAUUCUACUAGGUGGUGUGAUACAAGAAAAUACUGAACCUGAUGAUGUUGUUGCUACUCGAAUUUGGUUCGCCAAGAAUCAAGUUGGGUGUCUUCUCGGCAAAGGUGGCACAAUUAUUCAGUAACUUAUUGGUGAUACUGGUGCAAAUAUUCGCAUAUUGUCUUCGGAUCGAUUUCCACCUUGUGCCAGGAACAGUGAUGAACUAGUACAGAUCUCUGAAGGACCUGCCAGCAUCGGAAAUCAAAGCCUCCCCAAACCAACUCGAAGAAUCAAAAGAACAAGCAGCAAGUUGAAGCUGGAGAGGAGGAUUUCACCCUGAUGCGUUUUCCUAGUCGUUCGAAGCAAGUCCAGCAAAAUUCAGAAAAAAGGUGAUGAUGAGCCCGCCAUACCCCACCUCCCGGGUGUCACGUGCCAAACCUCUUUGGUCAUAUUAUGCCAUCGAGUCAAAGGGUCAUUGGAGCCAUGCCGGAGUUUAGCUUGUAAUUGUUGAAUCAGGUCACCACUGCUGACCCACUUACUUUCAGAGGAUAUGAUGAUAACCUUCGCUUUAAGAGUUUUGUUCGUGUCAUCCCACUUUCCUCACCACAAAGCAGCAGUUCGUCAUCGUGCUCGCUGCAACGCACAUUACCACCACCCCACCCUCAUAAAUGAACACCAGCAGUCUCCCCCUUGCAUUCCUCCGAGUGAUUGGCCUGCAAGCUCCCAGCGAACCAGUUUCUCAUCUCUCUUGACAUGGCCAAACCUCCCAAGAAUAGGCUGUGAUGUUUGUCUUCCAUGUCUCCGCCUUCCUCGUCCUCCUCCACCUCGUCACCUUCCUCCUUACCAAGCUGUUCACCUUCCUCCUUGAAAGAGUUGCCGCUUCGACAGACCAAAGGAAUUCGCAGCUCAUCAGCGAAGAUGAGAUCAAGCCCAUAACAACGUACGAGUGCUACUCUGAUGUCGAAGAGUUAGCUGCCAGCAUCUUUGGCAGGGAAGACGGCCUACUGUUUUUCUACAACGAAAGCAUCACUGCUGAUACCCCACUUCUCGAAGAAGCAAAAGACUUCGAUGAGCGACACGCCUUCAAAGUCGACGAAAGCUUUGUCGCAGAAUCCCCUCUGGAAGACCAUGAAGGUCUCGGGCUCGAGCAUGGCGAUGUUGUGGCGAUCGUCGACCUAAAACCAUCGAAUCAUCCACCUUCAAUCAUAUCUAAUGGGCCUCUAAAAGAUGAAGAUACGGGUGGGGAUGCGCUCCACAGAAAUGAAGAUGAGAAGCAGCAGGAGUUGUCAAAGAAAGAGAAACUCUUCAUCGUCGACCGAACCCAUUCUGUCGACAGCAAAAGGUUGCAGCUGGAGGAGGACACGUUCGGUGGUUCUCUCACAGGUGCAUCGACAUCCAAGAGCUCUAUGGAGUGGAGAAGCUCCACGAUCUUCAGGGACUCGGAGACAGAAUGCCCCUUCUCCUCCUCAUCACGCAGGAGCUCUUCCAACUGGGAAACGUACACCUUGUUCCGCAAGUACGACGAGGAGAUGAUGUUCUUCGAUAGAAUCAGCGCACAAAAGCUGACGGAAACAGAAUUGUUUACAUCGAUGAAGUUCCAACCAAGAUCAACCUCGCAAAGGAUAGCUCACAUAUUUACAACACACAAGAACAGGGGAAGCACGGAUCCGUAUCAAGAACUGGAGGGUGCUUAUGUGUCUCAGAUUUGCCUCGCAUGGGAAGCUCUUAACUGGAAUUACACCAACUUCCGGCGAAGGAUUGCCAAGGGAUCAGACAGCGAAAGCUCUUCUUGCACCGCAUGGAUAGCUCAGCAAUUCCAACAGUUCCAGGUCCUCUUGCAGCGAUUCAUAGAAAAUGAGCCUUAUGAGCGCGGUCGGAGGCCCCAAGUCUUCGCUUGGAAGCGGAUUUCUUCUCCAAAGUUGCUCCAAGUUCCUGAGUUCCGAGACACAGAAGCAGAUGAAGGUAAAGAAGAAAUGAUCUCAUCCACCGAGUUCUUGGCGAUUCUCGAAGAUGCGAUUCGAACCUUCAUGAACUUCCUCAAGGCAGACACGACGAAUCCUUGCCAAAUGCUCAAAGCUUUCUUCAAGACAAAGCCCAGUUCGGUGGAUCCAAAUCUUCUUCGUCUUCUCAAAAGAACUAAUAAGAAAAACAAGACGAGGCUUAAGGAUCUCUCGAAGCGAAGAAGGUGUCUGACGAAGAAGAAGCGAAAAGGAGAAGAGGAUAUGGAGAUAUUGAUGGGUCUAAUAGACAUGAAGAUCGUGUCCAGAGUCCUAAGGAUGCCUGAGAUCAGCCAAGAGCAGCUGCGGUGGUGCGAGGAGAAGAUGAGCAAAGUGAAAGUAUGGGACGGCAAAAUCCAAAGAGAUUCGUCCCCACUUUUCUUCUUCCCUGUUCGCUGACUCCAACGUCGCCAGCGUCGUGUAAUCUGCUUUGCUUUAGGUUGCCUGAUGACUAGAUAAAGCGCCUGGAUAUACAUGAGAACAUGCAUCCCACCCUGACCUUGUCACUGCAAAGACAGAGACAGGUGCCCACAGUUGGACAUGGGUGCAUGCAUGUUGGUGUGACUUGGAGAUCGAGGUUUUGGGAUGCAAUGUUGGGUAGAAAAAGGAGAAAAGUGUUUAGGGACUCCUGUGACCAUUGAGUGACAAAACAAAAGUGACAUAUAUAUUAUAUAUGUAUAUAUAUAAUACAUAGAGCAGAGGGAGAGAGAGAGAGAGAGAGAGCGAAGCGCACCUUUAGCUUUUUGCUUUACGUGGCUACGUUUCUUGGUGGAUAGGGCUCCCACAAAAGAAGAAGCUGGCAGGCAGCAAACAAACACUAAUAACAGCAGUUCUUUCUUUCAUGCCAAGUCUAUUUUACAGUGUCACCUUUGUUUUCGUCAAACCAGGAUUAUGGCACUAAUUAUACUUUAAGAUAUCCAUGAGGGCAUCGUGUUCGGCUUGACUAAGUUUACGUGGUCUUUGUGAGAGGAUAAUAAAUAGUUCGGCAUAAAUGUGUAGCGAUAUGUAUUUAAUACUAAGCACAUGAGAAAUUGUAGAUCAUAGGGACGUUGAUUGAUCUGACCAAUGGGGCCAACAUUAGUGGACGGUCUUGAUGUAAAGCUGGACCUCCCCCCCAAAGUGGAGGCUGAAUUGGAGCCACUGAUUCUGGUGGGGCCUAUCUCAGCGGACACCAUGCAAAGGGGAGUAUUUAAGGUUGCAGAGGGUCCACUGCCAGCGGAGAGCCCCGACGGCACGUCACGCGUCUCGUCCUCCGCUUUCGCCUGUCUCGUGCGAGCGUUUCUUGGUAAAGAUUCGAUCUAGGGUUGGAAUGCACAAAUCAUUCAAGAGGAGUUGCGGUGUCGGUCGACCGCAGCAGCACCGGCGUGGGCGGUGAUUAGUCGGGAGGCGACUCGUGGAGUUGUCGCCCGGCUCCGAGGGGUUGGCCUCACGCCUUCAUCAACCGGCUUUGCUCGGAUCGGUGGCUGCUUCUUCCAGAUGUGGUGGGACUGAACUGGCUUUCGGUGAACCAACAAGUUGAGCCUUCGGAUCGCUUAAAAUACUUUGUUGCAUGGUUCUUACUGUCUGUUGUAACGUCUCUAGAACCGGAGAGCGCAAAUAUUGUGCUUUGGGUGAGCAACACAUUAUAUAGGAGAAAGUAAUUUAGAGCUUUCGGCUCACUAUAAAUACUUUGUUGCAUGGUUCUUAUGGUCUGUACUUUGUUGCGUGGUUCUUAUGGUCUGUUGUAACGUUUCUAGAAGCAAAUAUUGUACUUCUUUACUAGGUUAGCAACACAUUAGAUAGGAUAAAGUAAUUGUAACUCUAAAGCUUAGUUUUGAUCUUAAGAAUGCCUAAUCACUAGUUGAGUUGA
Molecule: RNA transcript, 5086 nt
Organism: Musa acuminata AAA Group (dessert banana)
Lineage: Eukaryota; Viridiplantae; Streptophyta; Magnoliopsida; Zingiberales; Musaceae
Exons: 9
Source: RefSeq, a predicted model, not a curated record